UGUAGACCCUGCGGGCUCUGGGUCGGGGUCCAGGUGUCCCGCUCCCCGCAGGGCCCAGGAUGGGUGGGGUCUCCAGUUAGUGCGGUUUGGAGCUCCCUUUUUUAAGAAGAAUGCGAAAUUAGAUACGAAGGGCCAGCAGGAUGAGGCAAGGUUUUCAUCUUGGUCCUCGGUGUUUCAAUCCAAAGGCUCAGAGAAGUUUUCUGCCUGGGCCAAUGGACAGUAACUGAUUGGAAUAUAAUCAUUCACUCAUUAUGUCACUUUCCAAAACUUACUCUGCAUCAGGCCAGUGCUAAUCAGGAGCUCCACCUCCAAGCUCAGAAUCCUGUUGGAAUAAUGUGUAUAAUGACUGUCCCAGACUGCGAGCUGAGAACCAGGAAUCAACCAAGCACAACUGUGCUGGUAACUUGUAAAUUCCUGCACCUGGAACAUCUGGCUCUGAAGAUACCACACUCCCAGCUUUGCUCUAUUUGAAUGACCUUUCUGUGGAAACUCAAAACACUUUCCACAAAAUGCUGGUACGAGGAAGCACAGAAGGGCUUAAGAGAGCCUGCACCACCUCCCUGGAAUCCGGGAGGCACCCCUGUCCCACUGUGCUCACCCCCUCCAUUUGUUUCUUACUUGCCUGUUAAAGGCGCUUGUGU
Odocoileus virginianus texanus is the source of this 641-nucleotide long non-coding RNA. RefSeq lists it as uncharacterized. The record is from RefSeq and is a predicted model, not a curated record. NCBI's taxonomy places the organism in Eukaryota, Metazoa, Chordata, Mammalia, Artiodactyla, Cervidae.